Long non-coding RNA from Etheostoma cragini (Arkansas darter), 1211 nucleotides. RefSeq lists it as uncharacterized. The transcript has 2 exons. The record is from RefSeq and is a predicted model, not a curated record. NCBI's taxonomy places the organism in Eukaryota, Metazoa, Chordata, Actinopteri, Perciformes, Percidae.
CACUGAAUGAAUCAUUUUUAUUUUUUUUAAGCUCUUAGUACUGUUUCUGUACCAUGUUAUAUGUGUUAUUUGUCUUAUUGAAUUAUAGAUUUGAGUAUGCAUUGGCACGGUGUGGUACAGUACAGCCUGAUUGAUACUGGAUUUAUCGGACCAAUGGCAUUACCAAAAUUUGAGUUUAAUGCUUUCCUGCCUAUAGUUAAAAUGUAUGAUUGAUAUCACUCAUGUGAUCAGUAAAUAUGAAGCUAUUGUCAGCAGCUGGUUAGCUUAGAAUAUAUUCUAUAUAUCUUAUUAACCAACAUACCUUGUAUCUAUGCUGAGCUACAAUUAGCCAAUAAUAUCAGCUAAAUAACCACUGUUGAAGUGUAAAAUUGAACAGUGAGAUUGAUGAAUGUUAUGUGGUGCAAUUUACUGAUUUACAUCGACACUGUAUUCUUAAUAUUAAUCAUACUCAAACAAUAAUAACAGCUGCAUAAUAUUAACAUUAUGAAACUCCUUUAUGUUAUUUACACGUUUGAUUGACAUCUCUCGCACAAUGGUGUUUUAUAGGUACUGUAAAUGCUGCUGAUAAACUUAAUGGCUGAAAUAUAACUCACUUAAAUGGUAAAACCAGAGGAAUAGUAUGGCAAUGUAUCAAACAAAUAAUGGGCUUCAAAAAACGAUAACAAUAAAGUAUAGUAGUAUGUUUUUUGAAGGAUCUUUGGGUCGUAAUUAAAUGUGAUAAAGUGGUUUAUGUUUGAUUUAUGUGAGUUUAUGUUAUGAGUUAUGUGAGAAUGUGAUUGUUACACUGGGCAUCUGCAACCAAGUGUCAGUGUAUGUUUCUGUUGAUGUUGUGUGUUACUGCAACACCUGAACGCAACAUCUAGAUGGAGACAGAAACAGACUUGAGAGGAAGCGUGAGCUGGAAGUGAAACAAUCGCUGACAGUCGACUGAGCUCAUGCGGACAGAGGAAGUACUAAUGGCUAAAGAGGAUCUAACAGGCAAGUGUAUUUACAGAAAAAGAUGUUUGGAUGGACACUGUUGACUUUAUAUAGUACAAAACAGACUUUAGGUUAAGCUUAAAAAAAGAACAGGCUGUUGAAGACACAGAUCCCUCUACACGAGGUACGUGUUAUGUAUUAAUACAAAUAUUUCCUAUGGUUUAAUGGUAAAGUCCCUUUACUCAAUUUCCAAUCCAUCUGUGUCAGGUAUGAUUAGAGACUAUUUAAACAGG